This 253-nucleotide ribosomal RNA is filed under the name uncultured bacterium. RNAcentral describes it as "partial 16S ribosomal RNA". It matches the Rfam family "Bacterial small subunit ribosomal RNA", at positions 524 to 776 of the family's 1533-position model. The record is from RNAcentral.
UACAGAGGGUGCGAGCGUUGUCCGGAAUCACUGGGCGUAAAGGGCGCGUAGGUGGCGGCCCAAGUCCAUGGUGAAAGCUCGAUGCUCAACAUCGAGUCGGCCACGGAGACUGGGUUGCUCGAGCACUGUAGGGGCAGAUGGAAUUCCGGGUGUAGCGGUGGAAUGCGUAGAGAUCCGGAAGAACACCGGUGGCGAAGGCGGUCUGCUGGGCAGUUGCUGACACUGAGGCGCGAAAGCCAGGGGAGCAAACGGG